GGAUGCGAUCAUCCCACCCCUAAAGCACCGGAUCCCAUCAGAACUCGGAAUUUAAGCGUGCUUGGCCGAGAGUAGUCCUGGGAUGGGUGCCCUCCUGGGAAGUCUUCGUGUGGCAUUCC
This 119-nucleotide ribosomal RNA is filed under the name Sorghum bicolor (sorghum). Lineage: Eukaryota; Viridiplantae; Streptophyta; Magnoliopsida; Poales; Poaceae. The record is from RNAcentral.